GCAAACGGGAUUAGAUACCCUGGUAGUCCACGCUGUAAACGAUGUCGAUUUGGAGGUUGUGCCCUUGAGGCGUGGCUUCCGGAGCUAACGCGUUAAAUCGACCGCCUGGGGAGUACGGCCGCAAGGUUAAAACUCAAAUGAAUUGACGGGGGCCCGCACAAGCGGUGGAGCAUGUGGUUUAAUUCGAUGCAACGCGAAGAACCUUACCUACUCUUGACAUCCAGAGAACUUAGCAGAGAUGCUUUGGUGCCUUCGGGAACUCUGAGACAGGUGCUGCAUGGCUGUCGUCAGCUCGUGUUGUGAAAUGUUGGGUUAAGUCCCGCAACGAGCGCAACCCUUAUCCUUUGUUGCCAGCGGUUCGGCCGGGAACUCAAAGGAGACUGCCAGUGAUAAACUGGAGGAAGGUGGGGAUGACGUCAAGUCAUCAUGGCCCUUACGAGUAGGGCUACACACGUGCUACAAUGGCAUAUACAAAGAGAAGCGACCUCGCGAGAGCAAGCGGACCUCAUAAAGUAUGUCGUAGUCCGGAUUGGAGUCUGCAACUCGACUCCAUGAAGUCGGAAUCGCUAGUAAUCGUAGAUCAGAAUGCUACGGUGAAUACGUUCCCGGGCCUUGUACACACCGCCCGUCACACCAUGGGAGUGGGUUGCAAAAGAAGUAGGUAGCUUAACCUUCGGGAGGGCGCUUACCACUUUGUGAUU
RNAcentral lists this ribosomal RNA (701 nucleotides) under uncultured Serratia sp. RNAcentral's name for it is "bacterial SSU rRNA". It matches the Rfam family "Bacterial small subunit ribosomal RNA", at positions 768 to 1469 of the family's 1533-position model. Lineage: Bacteria; Pseudomonadati; Pseudomonadota; Gammaproteobacteria; Enterobacterales; Yersiniaceae. The record is from RNAcentral.